UUCAAUUACUCUGGGAUCCCGCAAGCUUCCCAGAAUCCUCUUUGACCACAAUCAAAGCAUAGUGUCUGAAAGUAGCCUGGCCACACAAAAUGUGCAAAACACUGUAACCUCUCCACAGCCUCACUCCACUUUGCAUUUGAGGGAAAUGAUUCUAGAAGCUGAAAUAGACCAGAGUUCAACAGUCUGGGAAAUUUGAAGAAGAAAAAAGAAAAAAAAGAAAAAAAAAAAAAAAACAUCGAAGUCCUGCAUUUGCAGAGAUGUGAAGAGAACCCAGCUUUCUGAAGUUGGAAGGAAGUGAGAAGACCCUAUUUGUGGCUGCAGGAGAGGAAAAGAAAAGGGACCCGCAAGGAAACUACCAACAGAUGACAGGAAUCUGGGCCAAAGAGUUGCAGGAAAUUAGCAAAGAUCAUACAACUAGCUCAUGGCAAAUUCAGCACUGGAACCUAAGACAUUGCCCGCCUAGUCCUGUGUUUGCUUUCCUCUAGCCCUCAUUGAAGGUGGACAUUGCUGUGAUGAGCAAAACCCAAUUCUAGAAGACUUCGAUCAUGGGAGCCCUCACGCUUGGGUUCUUAUAAAGCAAGAUGAUGGCGUUUCUGUCUGGUCUGUAGAUGUUUGGGAAACUGGUUGAUAUUCUUUACAAGUAAGGUUUCAAGCUAAAAUAGAUUUGUUAAUUUCUGUCCUAAACCCCUGUGGGUCGUCUGAUUAUAUAGCUACCACACUAUUUGACACAGCUGGGAUCCUCUUUUCAUGAAAUAGCAGGGAAGAUUGGUGGAUAAGGAUUAAAAAGCAUUGGCAGAGGAGACUGGGAGACUCACACAAUUACUUCCACCCAGUGCCUUCCUGGUCGAAGAACUUCUCCCAGCCUCUUGGAGAGAGAGGUGGACAAGAAGAAAAAGCAAGCAUCCAAAUUGCUGAGAGAGAGUUUCAAGUGGAGUAGCCAUCAUGAGAGCCAGAGGGUGGCUCGCAGUAUCGUACCCACUCUUCCUGCAGCCGGUCCAGCCCCCGCGCGUAGUACUCACGCAGCAGAAACCGCUGAAGUACAAAUCAUUCUACAGUGUUCUCAUCCUGCUGUAGCACUGGUUAGUAGCAUCCAUGAACUGAAGAAGUGUUGAGCAGGUCAGCUCCCCGAGGCCAAAAUUUCCUCCUUGGGGUAUGAAAAGAAACACAUGAACAAAUUCCCCUCCAUACAACAACA
Saimiri boliviensis boliviensis (Bolivian squirrel monkey) is the source of this 1195-nucleotide long non-coding RNA. RefSeq lists it as uncharacterized. NCBI's taxonomy places the organism in Eukaryota, Metazoa, Chordata, Mammalia, Primates, Cebidae. The record is from RefSeq and is a predicted model, not a curated record.